GAUGAACGCUGGCGGCGUGCUUAACACAUGCAAGUCGAACGGAGAUACCAUGUGAGCGUAAGAUGCUUGCAUCAAACAAUCUUUUGGUAUCUUAGUGGCGGACGGGUGAGUAACGCGUGGGUAACCUGCCUCAUACAGGGGGAUAACACUUAGAAAUAGGUGCUAAUACCGCAUAAGCGCACAGAGUCGCAUGACUCAGUGUGAAAAACUCCGGUGGUAUGAGAUGGACCCGCGUCUGAUUAGCUGGUUGGUGAGGUAACGGCUCACCAAGGCGACGGAUCAGUAGCCGGCCUGAGAGGGUGAACGGCCACAUUGGGACUGAGACACGGGCCCAAAACUCCCUACGGGGAGGCAGCAGUGGGGAAUAUUGCACAAUGGGGGAACCCUGAUGCAGCGACGCCGCGUGAGUGAAGAGUAUUCGGUAUGUAAAGCUCUAUC
Molecule: ribosomal RNA, 438 nt
Filed under: uncultured bacterium
Lineage: Bacteria
Description: bacterial SSU rRNA
Rfam family: Bacterial small subunit ribosomal RNA
Source: RNAcentral